Molecule: transfer RNA, 76 nt
Filed under: Clostridiales bacterium
Lineage: Bacteria; Bacillati; Bacillota; Clostridia; Eubacteriales
Description: tRNA-Val
Rfam family: tRNA
About the family: Transfer RNA (tRNA) molecules are approximately 80 nucleotides in length. Their secondary structure includes four short double-helical elements and three loops (D, anti-codon, and T loops).
Source: RNAcentral
GGAGGCAUAGCUCAGCUGGGAGAGCGCUACCCUUACAAGGUAGAUGUCAUAGGUUCGAGCCCUAUUGCCUCCACCA